This 253-nucleotide ribosomal RNA is filed under the name uncultured bacterium. Its description in RNAcentral is "partial 16S ribosomal RNA". It matches the Rfam family "Bacterial small subunit ribosomal RNA", at positions 524 to 776 of the family's 1533-position model. The record is from RNAcentral.
GACGAAGGGGGCUAGCGUUGUUCGGAAUUACUGAGCGUAAAGCGCGUGUAGGCGGUUGUCCAAGUUGGAUGUGAAAGCCUUGAGCUUAACUCAAGAAAUGCAUUCAGGACUGGAUGACUAGAGGACCGGAGAGGGUAGUGGAAUUCCCGGUGUAGUGGUGAAAUGCGUAGAUAUCGGGAGGAACACCAGUGGCGAAGGCGACUACCUGGCCCAUUCUUGACGCUGAGGCGCGAAAGCUAGGGGAGCGAACGGG